Molecule: ribosomal RNA, 1485 nt
Filed under: uncultured Bordetella sp.
Lineage: Bacteria; Pseudomonadati; Pseudomonadota; Betaproteobacteria; Burkholderiales; Alcaligenaceae
Description: partial 16S-23S ribosomal RNA intergenic spacer
Rfam family: Bacterial small subunit ribosomal RNA
Source: RNAcentral
AGUUCGACCAUGGCUCAGAUUGAACGCCAUGGGCUGCUUACACAUGCAAGUCGAACGGCACGGACUUCGGUCUGGUGGCGAGUGCGGCGAACGGGUGAAAGUACGUAUCGGAACGUGCCUAGUAGCGGGGAUAAUCUACGCGAAAGCGUAGCUAAUACCGCAUACGCCCUUCGGGGGAAAGCGGGGGACCUUUCGGGCCUCGCACUAUUAGAGCGGCCGAUAUCGGAUUAGCUGCUGGUGGGUAACGGCUCACCAAGGCGACGAUCCGUAGCUGGUUUGAGAGGACGACCAGCCACACUGGGACUGAGACACGAAACAGACUCUACGGGAGGCAGCAGUGGGGAAUUUUGGACAAUGGGGAAACCCUGAUCCAGUUACUAAUCCCGCGUGUGCGCGAUGGAAGGCCUUCGGGUUGUAAAGCACUUUUGGCAGGAAGAGAACGGCACGGGAUAAUACCCUGGUGCAACUGACGGUACCUGCAGAAUAAGCACCGGCUAACUACGUGCCAGCAGCCGCGGUAAUACGUAGGGGUGCAAGCGUUAAUCGGAAUUACUGGGCGCAAAGCGUGCGCAGGCGGUUCGGAAAAAGAAAGAUGUGAAAUCCCCAGAGCUUAACUUUGGAACUGGUAUUUUAAUCACUGAGCUAGAGUGUGUCAGAGGGAGUGUGAAUUCCGCGUGUAGCAGUGAAACAAGGCGUAGAUAUGCGAGGAACACCGAUGGCGUAGGCGCAGCCUGGGAUAACACUGACGCUCAUGCACGAAAGCGUGGGGAGCAAACAGGAUUAGAUACCCUGGUAGUCCACGCCCUAAACGAUGUCAACUAGCUGUUACAAAUUUUCGGGCCCAGUAGCGCAGCUAACGCGUGAAGUUGACCGCCUGGGGAGUACGGUCGCAAGAUUAAAACCUGUGCGAAUUGACGGGGACCCGUGCACAAGCGGUGGAUGAUGUGGAUUAAUUCGAUGCAACGCGAAAACCUUACCUACCCUUGACAUGUCUGGAAUCCUGAAGAGAUUUGGGAGUGCUCGCAAGAGAACCGGAACACAGGUGUUGCUAUUGUCGUCAGCUCGUGUCGAGAUGUUAAGUCCUGCAACGAGCGCAACCCUUGUCAUUAGUUACGCCGAAAGGGCAAUUUGGAUGAGACUGCCGGUGACAAACCGAGAAGGUGGGGAUGACGUCAAGUCCUCAUGGCCUCUUAUGGGUAGGGGCUUUCGGCACGUCAUACAAUGGUCGGGACAGAGGGUCGCCAACCCGCGAGGGGGAGCCAUCCCAGAAACCCGAUCGUAGUCCGGAUCGUGUCUGCAACUCGACUGCGGAAGUCGGGACCGCUAGUGGUAACGUGAUCAGCAUGUCGCGGUGAAUACGUUCCUGGCCUUUGUACACACCGCCCGUCACACCAUGGGAGUGGGUUUCACUAAAGUAGUUAGCCUAACCGUAAGGAGGGCGAUUACCACGGUAGGAUUCAUGACUGGGGUGAAGUCGCAAUACCA